Molecule: non-coding RNA, 490 nt
Organism: Paramuricea clavata
Lineage: Eukaryota; Metazoa; Cnidaria; Anthozoa; Malacalcyonacea; Plexauridae
Source: the annotation of a GenBank genome assembly
GUCUAAGCCGAGAAAAUCAAAGUUAAAGUUUAUGUACAUCAACAUGAAUCUGUAUCACAUAUACAGAUACGACACGCUUAUGAUUUUUCUUUCUGUUUUCUCAUGAAUUAUUAAUGAGUUUUUUAAUAUACAAUAACAGGUGGGAAAUUUGUCGUCGCUGACCAAAAAAUUGCGGGCAGAAACAAAGCUCAUUGCAUUUACAUUCAAAACAAAGCAGAAAGUUAGCAAGAAGCUGUUUUAGCUGACGAUUUUUUGCUUUCCAUUCAACGAUUUGCAAAUUAUUGGUUAUUCUUUUAAAAGUCGAUCAUGAAUUCUUUGUUUUGGGAUGAUUGUUUUGUAAUCGAGUGAUUGGAAGAAGUUAAUAUGGCGACGUGAACAUGGGAGUAAAUACCGUAUACGUCGAUCUAUGACUUGUUUAAAACCGUAAUAAACGAAGAAAGACGUGAUUUGAGAAUGAAAUGUAAGUUGAAAUUAACUUUAUAUGCCUCAA